RNAcentral lists this unclassified non-coding RNA (227 nucleotides) under uncultured fungus. RNAcentral's name for it is "sequence contains ITS1, 5.8S rRNA gene". The stretch from base 179 to 227 matches the Rfam family "5.8S ribosomal RNA", at positions 1 to 49 of the family's 154-position model. Lineage: Eukaryota; Fungi. The record is from RNAcentral.
UCUCCGUAGGUGAACCUGCGGAGGGAUCAUUACCGAGUGAGGGCUCACGCCCGACCUCCAACCCUUUGUAAUCCAUACCAUGUUGCCUCGGGGGCGACCCUGCCGUCCGCGGCUGAGCGCCCCCGGGGUCAAUCAAACACUGCAUUCUCUGCGUCGGAGUAUUAGUAAAUCUAAUCAAAACUUUCAACAACGGAUCUCUUGGUUCUGGCAUCGAUGAAGAACGCAGC